UUUAAUUUCUUCUUUUUGCUCAACACACAUCCAUUAUAUUCCUUCUAGUUCUACCUACUAUACUCUUGGAAUUUCCUUAGACCAGCAUCAUUCAAAUGGCUUCAGACUCUGAUCUCUACCAGAAUCUGAUCUCGACCGACGUCCAUUUCAAGAUGUUUACCUUUCUUCAACACACAUACCGCACCUUUUUCUAAGCCGACUAAUCCCUCGACUAUUGAUCAGUCUAAGUGUGAGUCCGAGUCCGAGUCUGAGUCUGAUUUUAUCGCUCGUAAGUUUGAUGAUAAAUAUGAAAGGACAAAGUUGGUUAAUAUCAUGAAAGCUGGUUUUCAGCUCUUAUUUUCCGAAGUUGAUGACAAAAGUCAAUAUACCUCUCUUGGAAUAAAGGUUAUAUUGGAGAUUGAUCAUGAACAAAUUCAAGAGGGACCUUGAAGACUCAGCCAAGGCAACACCUUGCGAUGCAUCUCCGACAUAUAAAUUGGAAGCCGAAGAUGCAAUUGGAUUAAUUUUGGACUAUGCAGGAUUUUGGAUACAUAGUUGCUCCUCUGUAAGUUGAGCUUUAUGUAAUUUGAUUUUGGUUGAAGAUUUUGUCCACAUUUAAUUUAUUACGUUUAAUUUUCCGUUAUGUUUGGGUUUAAACAUUAAAUCUCGCACUUAUUUAAA
Chenopodium quinoa (quinoa) is the source of this 660-nucleotide long non-coding RNA. RefSeq lists it as uncharacterized. NCBI's taxonomy places the organism in Eukaryota, Viridiplantae, Streptophyta, Magnoliopsida, Caryophyllales, Amaranthaceae. The record is from RefSeq and is a predicted model, not a curated record. The transcript is spliced from 3 exons.